GAUGAACGCUGGCGGCGUGCCUAAUACAUGCAAGUCGAGCGAACGGACGAGAAGCUUGCUUCUCUGAUGUUAGCGGCAGACGUGUGAAUAACACGGGUGUAACCUACCGAUAAUACUGGGAUAACUGCGGGAAACCGUAUCUAAUACCGGAGGAUGUUUUUAACCACAUUGUUCAGGAAUGAAAUACGGUCUUGCUUGCGCUUAUAGAUGAAUCCGCGCUGCAUUAGCUAGUUGGUAAGGUAACGGCUUACCAAGGCAACGAUGCAUAGCCGACCUGAGCGGGUGAUCGGCCACAUUGGAACUGAGACACGGUCCAGACUACUACGGGAGGCAGCAGUAUGGAAUCUUACGCAAUGGGCGAAAGCCUGACGGAGCAACGCCGAGUGAGUGAUGACGGUCUUCGGAUCGUAAAAAUCUGUUACUAGGGAAGAACACAUGUGUAAGUAACUGUGCACAUAUUGACGGUACCUAAUCAGAAAGCAACGGCUAACUACGUG
This 497-nucleotide ribosomal RNA is filed under the name uncultured bacterium. RNAcentral describes it as "partial 16S ribosomal RNA". It matches the Rfam family "Bacterial small subunit ribosomal RNA", at positions 28 to 507 of the family's 1533-position model. The record is from RNAcentral.